CGCACGCCUUGGCCUCCCAAAGUGCUGCGAUUACAGGCAUGAGCCGCCGUGCCUGGCCUGAGUUUUUUACUACACCUACUACAAAGACUUCUAGCAAAUGACUUCUACAAACCAGCUGGCUCACUCAGAUGAGGAUCCCAGGUGUGUUUCUUAGAAGCCCUACCAGGGGAGGGAGGGUGCAGGAGGCAGAAAGGUUGAGAACCUUAGGAAGUUUGCUGACACAGCAUAGUUGGGCAGAAAACAUAUUUUGCAGCCCUAUUCCAGGAGAGUGUGUGAGAAGCACCUGGAAGUGCGUGUGCCCCUCCCAGGGGGCCCCAGGGAGCUAUCCCUUUUUCAGGAGGUGUAGAAGUAGCCAGGUCCAAGUGGAUGUCCAGGAAUGGGCCUGGCCACUCUUCAGCUGCUGCACGUCUGGGAUAGAACAGAGUGGAGGGAAAGGGGUCCUAAUUUUUGAGAAUGCAUGGAAUAUCCUGAGCCACAAGCCUGGCCUCACAGAACAGAUAACCCCCACGACAGUGCAUCCUGCUGUCUCUGCUCUGAGCUAAACUGCAGGAGAACCCCGCCUUUAGGGACCUUUUCAUCCCAGGAACCCCAGCAACACCUAGGCUCCAGUACUGGGACAAGAAUCUGAGCUAUUUAAAAAUGUGCUUCUGUAGGAAAUGAUGUCAGAAUGCUUGUUUCAUAGGUCUGUUCUUUAACAGACAGCUAUUCAGCCCCAGCUGUGCAGAUCCCACUUCCUGGGAGUGGAGCAGAGGCUCUGCGUGGAGCAUCCAUGUGCAGUACUCUUAGGUACGGAAGGGAUUGGGCUAAACCAUGGAUGGGAGCUGGGAAGGGAAGGGACCAACUUCAGGCCCCACUGGGACACUGGAGCUGCCACCCUUUAGAGCCCUCCUAACCCUACACCAGAGGCUGAGGGGGACCUCAGACAUCACACACAUGCUUUCCCAUGUUUUCAGAAAUCUGGAAACGUAGAACUUCAGGGGUGAGAGUGCCUAGAUAUUGAAUACAAGGCUAGAUUGGGCUUCUGUAAUAUCCCAAAGGACCCUCCAGCUUUUUCACCAGCACCUAAUGCCCAUCAGAUACCAAAGACACAGCUUAGGAGAGGUUCACCCUGAAGCUGAGGAGGAGGCAGCCGGAUUAGAGUUGACUGAGCAAGGAUGACUGCCUUCUCCACCUGACGAUUUCAGCUGCUGCCCUUUUCUUUUCCUGGGAAUGCCUGUCGCCAUGGCCUUCUGUGUCCACAGGAGAGUUUGACCCAGAUACUCAUGGACCAGGCAAAGGUGCUGUUCCUCCCAGCCCAGGGCCCACCAUGAAGCAUGCCUGGGAGCCUGGUUGACUAUCUGGUAUAGUCUGCAGGAUUUAGAGUGUCUUCCCCUGACCACACGGUGUUUCUCUCUGAAAGCGGCACUUGGUACCAGCACAAACUCUGUCUUCAGAAGUCCCACCAGGUGUUUUGGGGCACCAACUAUCAGGCCUCCCGGAUGGUAUCAAGGAGCUCAAACUCACCAGGUCACCACAUCUGGACAAUGAGAGGCCAAACCCCUCACCCGCCAUGACUGCCUAACCACCCACCUGCUGCCUGUUGACUGACUCCUCUUCCUUAUCCCUCCCUAGUUCCUGUUUUCCUGCAUAGACGGGCUUUCACGGUGUUAGCCAGGAUGGUCUCAAU
This is a long non-coding RNA of Homo sapiens (human), 1666 nucleotides long. RefSeq lists it as uncharacterized. The record is from RefSeq and is a predicted model, not a curated record. Lineage: Eukaryota; Metazoa; Chordata; Mammalia; Primates; Hominidae. The transcript is spliced from 4 exons.